GGGGGUGGAGUUGCAAGCUGAUGCUCUCAGUCAACCCCUUCCUCUGCUAACCAUUGGUUUGCAGGCUGCAUAAUCCACUCUAACUUUGGGCAGGACUUCUAAGAGCUUCUAAUCUGUAACUCCUUUUUGUACACCAACCCCAACCACCCAGCCUUGGGAAACUGAGUGUACAAGGCCUCAGCCUGGGUACACCGAAAGGAAGCAGAGAGGAGAAGCGAGUCAAGAAGCUUGAGAUCUGACACAGGUUCUGGCAAGUGCCCUUGGGCCAGGGACUCUUAUUUCCUCUUCCAUAGAAGGAUGACACAGCAAGAAGGCCCUCACCAGAUGCUGAGCAGAUGCCGGCACCAUGCCUGUGGACUUCCCAGCCUCCAGAACUGUAAACGCUGCAUUUCUACAACAGCCACCUGUGCAGGCCCUGCAUGCUCUGUAACCUGGGGAUUUGGUCUUCUGAAAAGGGCACCAGAGAAAAACUGCUCUUAAGCCUCUGUUAACUGACACAGCAGUAGAACUCCAAGGUGUUGAUCCUUGGAUUCAUGUUUCUCAACUUCAGAGACACACAUCACUCCUUCCUGACCACUGGGCAUCCAUCCCACCAGGAGCUCCUAAUCUGAGAGCUGUUAGAAAUCCUCCAAAAGUGCUGACUGCAGAAGUUGGUAGCUUCUGCUCAAGAUGACAGAACAAGAUUAACUUUUGUAUUCUUCAGCACCUUUUUUAUUUUCCAUUAUCACACUUUGAUACCCUCUAAAACAUUAAAACACCUUCU
Molecule: long non-coding RNA, 763 nt
Filed under: Homo sapiens (human)
Lineage: Eukaryota; Metazoa; Chordata; Mammalia; Primates; Hominidae
Description: non-protein coding lnc-SSU72P5-2:1
Source: RNAcentral